GGCUGGGGAGGGACUGGGUUAGAGCCAUGAGAACCAUCGGGUCUUGAAUGAUUCUGUGCCUGGGGAGGUGUGGUGUGGGGGAUCCCCAGGCCAUGGGGAAAUGUCGUCUUCCCUGCCCAAGGCUGUGUUGUGACGGCGGCAUGUCUGGGCAAGGGAGAUGGCGCCUCUUUCGUUCUGGCCGCAGAUCUGCUUGGUGGCUAAGACCCUGGAGGCCCUCCCUGAUUUGGAAGUUGCCAUCCCAACUCCUGGUGCUCCCGGUCAGCUCAGCAUCCACCGUUCUCUUUGUAAGUUGCAUGUAAACGUGGCAGGAUGCACACACACGGACACACACACACUAAGUGUGCAAGAGUGAAAUAGAGGUGGUGAAUUAAAACCCGUGACUGCGCUGAAACAAAAAGAAAGAAGAAAGAAAGAAAUCCAAGAACAGACACACAAGCAAAAGUGGCAGAAGUCCCGAGGGGAUGCAUGAGGGCAUUUCAAGGAAGAUGCGCAAAGGACAGACAUGGGCCAGUUCCAGGUGCACAGAGCCCCAGACCUGAAGCAGACAAGAGGUGGGACC
This 559-nucleotide long non-coding RNA is filed under the name Homo sapiens (human). The record is from RNAcentral. Lineage: Eukaryota; Metazoa; Chordata; Mammalia; Primates; Hominidae.